This 413-nucleotide long non-coding RNA is filed under the name Sorghum bicolor (sorghum). RNAcentral describes it as "long non-coding RNA (SBIC_LNC017947)". Lineage: Eukaryota; Viridiplantae; Streptophyta; Magnoliopsida; Poales; Poaceae. The record is from RNAcentral.
GGGUAAACAUUUAAAUCAUUCUUUAUAUUUGCAGGGUGUUAAAAAUCCACUGUGUACCAUAGUCAAGGAUGUUUAUGGUUAAGAGUAAAGAUCCUUUCUUCUCAAUCCUGUCACUUGGAGUUUUUUUUGUAUAUUUUUGAAAGAAAGUUAGCAUACCUUUUUAUCCUCAUAGGUUCUCUCAGAUCACUCAUUAUCUUUCAUAUAUCUCACUGAGGUUGUUUUAUUUUGCAAAAAAAUUCUCAAGCAUACUCACUUUGCAUUUAUUGCCUGAUCAAAACGGGAUCCGAGGAGGGGAAUGUCAUACUCUUAGAUCAAAGACUUUGGAAAUUAAAAUCUUUGUCAACUCUUGCUGGCAUAUUGCUUAUUAGAGGGACCAUGGGCUAUCAUUUUCUCAUUUUCUUCUUUUUUUAAGU